UUCGGGUGCUUAAAAUGCCAGUCGAGCGAGCUGAAUUCAAAGAUUCCUUCGGGAUGAUUUGUUGGACGCUAGCGGCGGAUGGGUGAGUAACACGUGGGCAAUCUGCCCUAAAGACUGGGAUACCACUUGGAAACAGGUGCUAAUACCGGAUAACAACAUGAAUCGCAUGAUUCAAGUUUGAAAGGCGGCGUAUGCUGUCACUUUAGGAUGAGCCCGCGGCGCAUUAGCUUGUUGGUGGGGUAAAGGCCGCCAGCGUUCAUCCUGAGCCAAA
RNAcentral lists this ribosomal RNA (271 nucleotides) under Lactobacillus delbrueckii. RNAcentral describes it as "partial 16S ribosomal RNA". It matches the Rfam family "Bacterial small subunit ribosomal RNA", at positions 42 to 291 of the family's 1533-position model. The record is from RNAcentral. Lineage: Bacteria; Bacillati; Bacillota; Bacilli; Lactobacillales; Lactobacillaceae.